AUCCUCAAAGACCACGACGCCAUCUUCGCCAACCGCGACAUUCCGGUGGCGGCCAUAAAAGGAACCUUUGGCGGACUCGACAUUGUGUGGAGAUCCAAUGGCCCAGAAUUACACAAGCUACGAAAGCUCGACGUAAGUGAAAUCAUGAGCAACAAAGGCCUCAAUGCUUGCUACGAGUUUCGCCGACGAGAGAUCCGACAUAUGGUCAAGAAUAUUCAUGGAAAAAUCGGGUCACCCAUUAACCUCAGUGAACAAUAUUCUUAACAAUGUUCAACGUUACGGUUAACAUGCUUUGGGGUGGUUCGUUGAAUAGAGAAGAAUCGAACCUUGGGCAUGAAUUUAAGGAUUGAUUUGAGGAAUUUUUGAGAUUGAUGGUAGAACCCAAUGUUUCUGAUAUGUUCCCGGUGCUCAGGCCAUUUGAUUUGCAAGGAAUUGAAUCCAAAGCCAAGAAAAAUAUUUCAUGGUUUUAUGAGUUUUUCGAAUCGGUGAUAGAGCAGCGAAGGAAGCUCGGAGAGGGACCAAAAAUGGCUAGUAGUAAGGAUUUUUUGGAGCAAUUGUUGGAGCUGAACCAAACAGGAGAUGUCAAAAUUUCAUUAUCCAUGAAGGAAAUAAACGCUGUGCUGCUGGUAAGCAUACACACUAAAUUUUGAAAUCCGGAAUUCUAAAAAUAUAACUACAUUACUAAAUUUCAAAAAUUUACAAAAAAAAAACAUAUUUUAACCUAGGGGGUAUAUCAGUGUAAAACAAGUUUAAGUGGUUUUCCAUUCUUUCUUAAUUUUUUAAACAAAUAAUAUUUUAAUAACAACGGUCAUAUUUCAUAAAUUAUUCAUGUACAUCAUGCACAUCAAGUUUGGUAUAAAUUAAAAAAAAUUUAAUUAUUCGCUUUUUGAAAAAAAAAAUUCAAAUGUUCAUUCGUUAAAAUAUUAAUCGUACAAGAAUAUACAUAAAUAUGUAAAUUACUCAAAUUUCACAUCGAUGUAAAUUCAUCCUUUCCCUUGUAUAUAGGCAUUGUUUAAAAAAAAUACAUAACAAUCCAUGAAAUUGGUCGGUUUAGUUGUAAACAAAAUGAUUUUGGAGAUUUCUGGUAUGUUUUGUAGGGCGUGUAAUUGGUUGAUUUAAUUAGUUCAGCUUAAAAAAAUUAAUCGAUUUUUCUAAAAUAAAAAUUAGUAACCGAGUUGAUUUAAAGAUGAAAACACAAUAAUCGAACCGAUUCUGAUUUAAUUAAAAAAAAAGGAAUAUUGAUGGAUUUCAUUAAAAUAUAUUUAGGUUUAGGUUUUGAAUAACCUUAAAACACAUUGUUAGUGCUUUUAUUUCGAUAAAAUUUAAGAUUUUGUUUCUAAGAAGUUAAUUUUUUUUAUUCAAAAUCUUAAUUCAACGGUUAAUAUGAGAAAUAUUUUUUAUCAAAAUUUAUCAACUUGAAAUAUUAAUAUUUUCAUAUAAUUUGAUAAUAAUUGAUAAAAACUAAGUUAAUAAAAAUUAACUGAAUUAUUAAAGGUGUUAAUUAAACUACAAUUUUUAAAUUGAAAAUAUAAUGAAUAAAUCUCAAAUCCCAUGUAAGUAGAAGUAUUUUGACCUUUGAAUAAUGGGUACAUUUAAUUGAUUGUAACUUAUUUUAAAGUAUAUAAAAUCAAGCUAUUGAUAUACAUUCAACCUAUAUAAUGUAUUUUAAUUUAACGCUCUAAUCAUAAUUAAAUUAAUUAAAUUAUCUCGAUUAAUUUGAUUUUAAUUAAAAUCUGCUCAACUUUAAUCCUUUGUCUCAAAUUGUGGGUAUAGAAUAUUGUAAGUGGUGCUACGGACACAACAUUUACAACAAUGGAGUGGGUGAUGACGGAAUUACUACGAUACCCAGAUCAAUUGCGAAGAGCCGUCGACGAGUUGGAUGCAAUAAUUGGUGGCCCAAACAUCGUUGAAGAGUUUCGUCUUCCUCGCCUACUCUAUUUAGAAGCUGUGGUGAAAGAGACAUUACGAAUUCACCCACCUGCUCCUUUGCUAAUGCCACACAUAUCGAGUGAGACCAUCGUCGUAGCCGGUUACACUAUCCCCAAAAAUUCCAAUAUUUUCUUCAACGCGUGGGCAAUACAAAGGGACACUGAGUUCUGGGAAGACCCUCUUCAAUUCGAGCUAGAAAGGUUCUUGAAUGUCAUUGAGAAAAGGAAUUAUAAGGAAAAUAGUUUCGAUUUUUUUCCCGUUUGGAUCGGGGAGGAGGAUUUGUGUUGGGGUUUCAAUGGCAGAGAGAAUUAUGAUGUUGGUGUUGGCGACAUUGUUGCAUUGUUUCGAAUGGGAAUUGCUGAAUAGGCGAAAACCUGAUGUGAAAGAGCAACUACGAUUGGUGUUGUCAAAGGUGGAGCCACUUGUUCUUGUGCACAUUGCCCGUUCAUCUAAUUCAAUGCAAUAUCAAUAAAUUUAUGGUUAAAAUAUGCUUUAAGUCAUUAUACUUUUCAUAAAUUUUAAAUUUAAUCCUUGUACUUUUAUUUAUAGAAAUUUAAUCCAUCUACUUAUUUUCAUUAGUAUUCACGCUAAGGUUUAGGUUAAUUCGAAUAUCUUUUUGGAUUCAAUUUAACUCAAAUUUUGAGUUUUAUUUAAAAUUUGGAACUUAAUCAAAAUUUAAACUUUGUUAUGAAUCUCAAAAUUCGAUUUUUUUUUUUGAAAUGAAACCCGAAAUGUGGAAUUACAUAAAACUUGAAAUUGAAGCUCGAGACUAGUGAAUCAAUGUUAUAUUAAGGUAUAAAUAAGAUAUUUUGUGUUUAUUUUUGGGAUCUUACAGUAUAUUUUCCGAUUAGUUUUCCAAGCUCUAUUUUCCGGUUAUUUUCUAUUUCUUUGAAAAGUGCAACACCAAUUUUGUUUCAUCUUCUUUAUUCCGGUGUACAAAUAUUGAAAUACUAUGUUAACUUUGGGGGCGAUAUCCACUAAACGAUUACAGUGAUUAGUACGAAUUUGCUUAAAAGGUAAUGGUUCUUCCACAACACAGUUAUUAUUUAAUUUAUUUACACACAAUUUAUUUAUCCAAUUAGUGCUAAAAAUUUUGUUUUGCAGUGGUAUAUUUCUUACAAUAAUUUCAUAAUUUAUUUGUACAAAUCAGUUAAUGUGAAAAACGUUAAGAGUUAAAUUUUUUAGAAUCAAUACUAAAUUGACAUAAUAUAGAAAUGUUGAAUGUUAAAGUUAACGGGUGGUGAUAAACUACCAUUAUUUUAUAACUUUUCAUAAUUGAGCAAUUAAUAAAUAAACUUGAGUAUAAUUUAUGUUUUUAAAAAAAAAUAGAAGUAUGUGAUAGAGAGAGAUAUCAACGAUGUUUUAUCCCACCAACUCCCUCUAUGCCCUGGAGUACUUUAGCCAACCAGCAUAAAUCUCUUUCCAAUAAGCCUUCACUAAUUCAACUAGUUACAAGAUAAAAUAUUUGGCAUAGUUUUUGGUAUUUCUUCAUAAUAAUUGGUAUACUCUUAUAAUUUUCAAUACACUUUUAUAAUUUUUGGUAUUUUUUUGAAAUGAAAAUUUGAAAUGAAGUAUAAUUUUAGAGUAAAAAGGUUUUCAAUGCCAUUUUUUAGACCAAAAAAUUAUUAACUUUUAAAUUAUUAUUUUUUAUGCUAAUAUCAAUAUAUAGUAAUAAGGUUUUAAAAAUUAAUAAAUGAAAUAAAUUUAAUAAGGUCAACCAAUUUUUGAUAGGCACUUAUACUUUUUGGUACUCUUUAAUAUUUUUUGAUAUUUCUUUGUAUUUUUUUAUAUUCUCUCCUAAGUUUUUCAUUUUUGGGUUGAUUAAAGGUCAAAACUUUGCAUUUUGAUUUUUGUUUCUAUUUGGUUGGUGAGAAAGAUGAAAGAAAAUACUCUAACAUCACUUUAUUUAUUUAUUUAUUUUUAAAUAAAAGGAUGCUUUUUCACACUAAAAUAAGGAUGUCAAAAUUCAAAUUACUUCAUGAAUUUUGAAUUAAUCGACUCUGAAUGAAGCUGAUUUUUUUAUUUGAAAAAUGGAUAUGGGACGGGGUGGGUGGAUUUUUUUCUGUUGAAUAGUGAGUACGGAACGGCUAUGGUAAUUUCUUGCCAUUUUCGACCUGCUCCACUAUAUAUAUUUAUUGUUUUAUCCUUGUAUAUAUAAACUAUUAAAAGGGUAAAAAUAUAAUAAUGGAAUAUAGAAAAAAAUUAUAUAUUUUAUGUUUAAAUAUUUUUUAAAGAAUUAUACUUAAAUAUUUACCUGACUUCAAAAAUAUUGAAAAAAAUUAAAAACAAGUAUCAACAAUUAAAUUGAAGCGGAGCGGAGUGGGGUGGAGAUGGAUGCAUCCAACAUCCAUGGAGGUGGUAGUGGAUUUCAAGAUUAUACAUCUAUAGUAGAGCGGGAUGGGCGGUAAAGCAGAGUGUGUCAAUUAUGAAACAGUAAUGGAUUUAGCAAUAUCAGUCAUGCCUCACCCAAUUGCCAUCCCUACAUCCUUCUCUAUAUUCAAAUUUAGUCAUAAUUUUCUCUAUUUCUUUUAAUUGAAGUAUCCGGUUAAUAACUUAAUUAUUAAAAAACAAAAAAAAGAGUAAAGUAUUUAAAAUAAAAAAUAGGCAGAGUUGAAAGUUUCCACAUGCUUUGGCUGAAAAUAUAUAAAGGUUAUAAAAUAUAGAAAUUUAGUUUUAUAAAGAUUUCAUUUAGAUUUUAUUUACUAUGUAAUUACAUUCAAAAUUUAUAAUUUCUAAACAAUUGAAUGACGUGUAAAAUAUGUAUAAAUAUUUUAUAACGUUUCAAUUAUUAGGAAAGUGGUGAAGGACGUUAUCAUUUAAUAGUUCAAAUAAGUCCCUCUAUCCUUUUUUUGUAUUCGAAUUAAAGUACACGAUAAAAUUAUUUUUUAUUAGAGCAAAGUUUCAAUAAUAAAUACGAUUAGCGUGACUCGAAUCUAAGCUACACUUGAGACGAUGAACACUUUUAACCAUCAAGCCAUUACAUGGAAUUCAAUUUUAUCUAUUUUCAAUUCAAAAAUAAUUCAUAAAUAUCCAUGGGAAAAUCGAGUCACCCAUUAACCUCAGUGAACAAAUAUUCUUAACGGCAUUCAAUGUUACAAGUAACAUGCUAUGGGGUGGUUGGUUGAACGGAGAAGAAUCGAAGCUUGGGCUUGAAUUUAAGNNNNNNNNNNNNNNNNNNNNNNNNNNNNNNNNNNNNNNNNNNNNNNNNNNNNNNNNNNNNNNNNNNNNNNNNNNNNNNNNNNNNNNNNNNNNNNNNNNNNAAAAUAUAUUUAGGUUUAGGCUUUGAAUAAACUAUAGACACAUUGUUAUUUUUUUAUAUCAAUAAAAUUUAGGAUUUUGUCUCUAAACAAGUUGAUUUUUUUUAUUCAAAGUCUUAAUUUAACUAUUAAUAUCAAAAAUAUUUUUGGUCAAAAUUUAUCAAUUCAAAAUGUUAAUUUAAAUGUCAUCAUAUGAUGUGAUAAUUUUUUAUAAAAAUAAACAUGAUAAGUUAAAAAAAUUUAACUGAAAUACUAAAAGUGUUAAAUGACAAAACUACAAAUUUUAAAUUGAAAAUAUAUUUUUCGAAAUCAUUUUUUGUAAGGGGGUUGACUUUCUGUUUAAAAACGAAAAUGGAGUCGCCGCCAAUCCUUUUUAUUUAGGUGUGAUCGGAUCACCUCAUAAUUUAAUCAUUUUAAUAAAAGUUUAAAUUUACUAAAACGAUAAUUUUUUGUCUUCAAAAUCCAAAAAAAUGGGUUCGAGAGUCGGUUACGCUCGAGGAAGGAUUAGCACCCUCGAUAUGCCCAAAAUUGGUACCUAGUUGAUUACUUAAUGUCUUAAUGCCGAAAAUUGAAAUUUUGAAAAGAUUUUAAAAUACAAUCCUUUUUUAUCAAUGUUCAUUAUAAAAAUGCCUGAAUAAAUCGAAAAGAAAUUUAAAGACCCUCUCGUCUCGAGGUAACGAAAUGCCACGUCUCGUAAGUUAGGACACGACACUUGGAACCCUCAAGAAUAAGCUUGCCUUUAAUUUUUAUUGAAAUUCCAUGUAUUUUGAAAUUUAAAAUGAUAUUUUGCUAUUUAGGUUUAACGAGAAAAUUGAAACCCCGUAAGUUAGGAUAUGAUUUCUUGAAUCUCCAAAAUGCGAAAUAUUGCCUUAUUUUAAAAAUUUUAAAAUAGAACAGUUUAUUAUGGGUAUAUAAAAAUUAAACGCGACUUUUGAAGUGAUGAAAUGAAAUGGAAUGAUAAUAUAGAACAUGGAAUAACGAUUUAUGAAUAAAAUGUUACAUCAAUGAGUGACAAUAAUAUGAAAACACGAAUAAACGAAUUAUAGUACACAUGAUAGCAAUAAUCACACAAAGCAUGUCACUUUAAUAUCAAUAUUAACAAUCAAGGAAAGCGAACCAAAAUAAUAUAUGAAAAGGAAAGCGAACCAAAAUAAUAUAUGAAACAAUUUAAAGUAAAUAAUAGUUUAAAAUAAAUAAUUUACGAGAACAAUUCGAAGUAAAUGAUAAAAGGUUUCAAAUAAACAAUAUAAAAAAAACUUAAAAAUGAAUAAUAACAAAACAGUUUAAAAUAAAUAAUAUAAAAAUAACAUAUAAAACAAUUUUUUUAAAUAAUAUAUAAAAAUUUUAAAUGAUAAUAUAUAUAAUAGUUUAAAAUAAGUAAUAUAAUAAAAAAAUUUAAAUAAAUAAUAGGUAAAAAUAGUUUAGAAUAAAUAAUAUAUAUAAAAAACUUAAAAUAAAUAAUAACAAAAGAGCUCUUUUUUUAAAAAAGAAAAUAAAUGAAUUAAAUGGACUGAGUACGAGAUUAAAAUCGAACUAAAGUUCAGGGUUUAAAUUGUAAAUAAAUAAGAAAGGGUUACUAGGGACCAAAAUAGAACGUGCUUAAAAAGAAUGAGCGACUGACUGGGAAAAUAUUCCCAGCCCCUAUGCGCAGCGUUCCAGCAUGGACCAAAGUGAAGCAAGCGGAAGGAAAAAAAAAAUUAUACCGCAAAAUUAAAAAGGAAAAAAAAACAAGUGAGGACUAAAUUGCAAAGCAUCGCAAAAGCAGAAGGACCGCGUACGCAAAUAGCCCAUUUAAAGCAAAAACGCGUAGAUCUUGGUUGCAUUCGGGUCGAUUUUUGGGUCUGAUGCAAAACGGCAUCGUUUUGGCCACUGGUGCUUAAGCCCAAAACGGCGUCGUAUUAUACCCUAUAUAAAUAGCAAAAAUAGAAAAAAAAAAAACAUUUCAGCCUUCAUUUUGUUCUCUCAGUCUCCCUUUCACACCUCUUUUUCCGGCCAUUGGGCCCAGUUGUUGGCCACUGUGAUGGCCGCUGGUCACUGGCGACAGCGGCGCUGUUUGCGGUGGCCGAAAAUGCCAAAACCACACUUUUUCUCCUCUCUUCCCGAGUAGAACCCGGAUUUGGGGUUAAAACGGCCCGAAAGACCCUCGAAAUUCAAAAAACGAAGGAAAAAAAAAAGACAAAACAAAGGGACCUUUUGGUUCCCAGUUGCCGCCGGUGGGGUUUGCGGCGAGCCCACUGACUCAGCCACCCUCAAGACUGGAGAAGUCUCUGACCGCAGCGUUAAAGGUAAUAAAUUUCACCCCUUUUUUAUUUUUUCAAUAUUAUUUAUUUAUUUAUUUUGAAUAAAAAUAUAUAAAAAAGCACCUUGAUUUUCUUUAAAUCUGUUUCAAACUUCUUUUUGUAUUCAGAAUUAGUGUGUGUGUAAAAAAAUUACAAAUAUGAAGUUUGGGCUUUUAUAGCCGGAUUAAAAAACUCUUAGUUUUCUAUUUUUUGUUUGUUUUGCUUGGUUUUUUUGUUGUCUUGUGUGUUGAUCUUGUUGGAACGUCGGCACCCCUACGGCGCAGCGGAAAAUUAAAAUAUUCGGCGAUCCUAACCAUGGAUCCAUGUGUGAGGAACGAAUCGGGGUGAAAUAAGGUUUCGAAAUUACCGAAUCUUUAUUCUGAGAAGACAACAACGGCUCAGCAACGAGUAAUCUGAUCUACUAUCGAACCAAGCCGCAAUCUAUCGUGACUCCGGCUUAUACAUAAUCCACCCAGUUGACAAUGAAUGGAAGGAAUCCCCAAAAUUGUUUUGAAAAACUUUGUUUUGACGGAUGCUAGACCUCAAGCAAAGAAAAACGAGAUUUUUAUAUCUAUUUUUAGGGUUUCUAGAAAUUAAAUAAAUAUAACUAUGUUUUAAACCAAAAAUUAUAAUUACAUUAAUUAUAAUAAUGAUUUCGAUAAACUAUAUAUUUAUUUGAAUUUAUAUACUAACAAAAUUCAUGUUCUCAUUAUGCGUACAACAACCUUGUACAUAAUGUGUUUGAAAUUUGAUUAUCCAUUUAAAUUAAUUCUAUAAUUAAUUUAAUUCAAGCGACAACCAAACACAAUACCAGCUAUGUUUUAUUCCGUUCAUUUCAACUAUAGGUGUGACCCUGUAGGUUCUUGUAACGUUAGCAGUAAUACUAGAACGAUUCUAAUGUUACAAACAAUGAGUGGCCCCUAGCAAUGCAUCAUUACUACCUAAGUCACAAUAAAUCAUGAUUCGACAUAACCUUUUUAUGAUUAACCUUUCAAGCAAUAAUCCUUAAGUCCUUUAUCUCUGGAUUGGACACAAGUCAUGGAAUAGUCACACUUGCAUAGUCCAUUCCAUGUUCCUUGAUAUCUUAAGUAGACUAUGAUAUACAAAUAAGUAUGACAUCUCAUAUCAGCUUAUUUGAGCAUGGUCAUGCAUUUCUAGUCUCACUCAAUCAAGUGGCCUAAGAUAUUACUCCCAUUAUGUAGGAGGGACUUAUCCUAUAUCAAUCAACCAUAUCCCUCUACAUAGAUCGUGGUAUAUCCAACAUCAGCCUUUAUAGAACAACCAGUUACGGUGUACGUUUGACUGUAUCAAAAUAUACAACUCAUGAUGUUGGGAUUAUGAUGAUCUCAAGUUUGAGGAUCAUAUACAUAUUAAUCACUAUGAGUAAUGUUGUGACAAUUACAUAAUAAUCCAAGAAACAUACUCAUAACGGGUCAGUCCAAUAUGUCGUUCUCUAACACACAUAUUCAUGCAUCGAUUUUGGCAUUCCAUAUCAAUGACAACUCUUUAUCAUCAAUCAACUACAUGUUAGUCUUAAUGCAUUAUUGUUGUCCUAUCCAACAAUAAUACUUGACUAAGGAUCUUUUAAGAAUAAUCAUAUUACUCUCAGGACAUUAUUAUAAAACAGUUUAUUUAUACAUACAGAAAAGAAAUUGAAAUAAUAAUGGUAACGCCUUAUAUUAAUAAACAUGAUAAAUGAAGUAUGUUAUUACAACCAUCUCAUGAUUGAUCUUUGGGCAUACUCUAACAGAUCUCUUUUUGCAGGUGUCAAACGCGCGUGGAGGAGGCUGGCGUGCGGCGACGCUGCGGCAGCAAUGGCAGCAGUGGCAGGCCUAGGUACCUUUCUUCCUCUUUUUUAUUAAUAGUCUUUUUUUAAAGAAAAACCAAUUUAAAAGGAAGAAUAAAAAAUGAUAUAUAAAAAAUAAAAUAAUAAAUCGAAAUGAAAGCAGCAACCUUUUCUUUUAUUUCUGAUGUUCGUAACAAAGGGUCCGGACCCCUCUCGUUUUUACAAUCAUCGGCUUUAUAGCCGAAAGAAGAAAAAAGAAAAAAAAUCCCUUCCCCCGUUUUUGUGGUCUGUUUUUGUCUUUUUCCUUGGUUGCGUGUUUGCAAGUGACGGCGCAAGUGGGGUGGUCGACGUGACAAUGGGCAGGGGUUAGGUUCGGCGGUGGCAGAGCAAGUGGCAUGGACAGUGGCGGGUGGACGCUAGCUAGGUGCGGCUGCAGACUAGGGCUUAGGGUUUCCUGUUUCUUUUUUUGUGUUGGGCCAUUUGGGCCGUUUAGGUUUUGUUUAGGAUUGGGCUUGGGUUAGGUUUAAAUUUGUUGGGUCUGUUACUUGUGUUCGGGUUGAUUGGGUUUUGGGCCCCGGACAAAAUUUGGGCUGUACAAAUUCAACAUGUUACAAGAUAAAAUAUUUAGCAUAAUUUUUGGUAUUUCUUCAUAAUAAUUGAUAUACUCUUAUAAUGUUUGAUAUUUCUUCAUAAUUUUCGGUACACUUUUAUAAUUUUUGGUAUUCUCUUAUAAUUUUGGUACAGUUUCGAACUGAAAAUUUGAAAUGAGACCUUUUAGACCGAAAAAAUUAUUAACUUUUAAAUUAUUAUUUUUCAUGCUAAUAUUUAUAUAUAAUGAUAAUUUUUUAAAAAUUAAAAAAUUUAAUAAAAUCAACCAAGUUUUGAUAAUUACUUAUAAUUUUUGGUACUGUUUAAUGUUUUUUUAUAUUUCUUUGUAUUUUUUUUGUAUUCUCUCGUAAGUUUUUGGUGAUUCCUUGGAUACUAAUAUAGUUGCAUAUUUGUCUUGUUGUUUAUUUAAAGUGCGUUUUUCAUUUUUGGGUUGAUUAAAGGUCAAAACUUUGCAUUCUGAUUUUUGUUUCUAUUUUGUUGGUGAGAAAGCAGUGGAAAAUGAAAGAAAAUACUUUAACAUCACAUUAUUUAUUUAUUUUAUUUUAAAGAAAAGGAUGCUUUUUCACACUAAAAUAAGGUUGUAAAACUUCAAACUGCCUCAUGAAUUUUGAAUUGAUCUACACCGAAUGAAGCGGAUUUUUUUUGUUUGAAAAGUGGACGUGGGACGGGGCGGGUGGAGUUUUUUUUCUUUUGAAUAGUGGAUAUGAAGUGACUAUGGUAAUUUCUUGUCAUUUCCGACCUACUCCACUAUAUUCACUUAUUGUUUUAUCUUUGUAUAUAUAAACUAUUGAAAGGGUAAAAAUUUAAUAAUAGAAUAUAGAAAAAAUUCAUAUAUCUUAUGCUUAAAUACAUUUUUUAAAGAAUUAUGCUUAAAUAUUCACUUGACUUCAAAAAGAUUGAAAAAAAAUAAAGAUAAGUACCAACAAUUAAAUUGAAGUGGAGCGGAAUGGGGUGGAGAUGGAUGCAUCCAACAUUCAUGGAGUUGAUAGUGAAUUUCAAGAUUAUACAUCCAUAGCGGAGCGAGAUGGGUGGUAGAGCAGAGCGUACUAAUUAUGAGGCAAUAAUGAAUUUAGAAAUAUCCGUCCUGAUAUUUAAAUUUAGUGAUUGAGAGAGUUAACCCAUAAGUACAUUUUCUCUAUUUUUUUAAUUAAAGAAUGCGAUGUUUGUUUUUUUUUUAAGAAGCAUUACCUUCAAUAGUUAAUAACUUAUUUAUUAAAAAACAAAAAAGGGGUAAAAUAUUUAAAAUAAAAAAUGUGUUAUGCUUUGGCUGAGUAUAUAUAAAGGUUAUAAAAUAUAGAAAUUUAGUUUUAUAAAGAUUUCAUUUAGAUUUUAUUCAGAUUUUAUUUACUAAAGAAUAGUUUGACGUGUAAUUUCAUUCAAAAUUUAUAAUUUCUAAACGAUUCAAUGACGUGUAAAAUAUGUAUAAAAAAUUAAUAAAGUGGUGAAGUACAUGAUCAUUUAAUAAUUCAAAUAAGUCCUCCAUUCCCUCUGUUUUUUUAUUCUAAACGAUAAAAUUAUAUUUUUACUCUUAUAAAAAUAUAUUUUUUAAUUUUAAAUUUUUUAGAAAAGGUUUAAUUUCAUCUUUAUCCUUAAAUUGUACUUCUGGAUUCGUCACAGGAUAUGAACAUUGUUAACCCUACCAUGCACCAAAUACUUGUAUUUAAUAUAAUAAUUUUUUUUUUUUUUUUUGAAUUACAAUAUCAUGGCAAGCCCAAAUAAUAAAUGUAGCUAACGUGAUUCGAAUUCAAACCAUAUCUGAGAUGAGGAGUGAAUACUCUUAACUAUCAAACUAUCGCAUGGAGUUUAAUUUUAUUUAUUUUCAAUUCAAGAAUAAUUCAUAAAUUAUUCUGUUUCUGGAAAGUUGACAAUAAUUGUUUCAGAUUUAGAAUAUUUAUUGCCACGAAUGAGGUAUUGCCAUAAGCUUCCAUAGCCGCCCCCUCAUACUGCUGUAACCUCCUCUUGCUAUAUAUAUAUAUGAUUAUAAUUAAGUCCUUCAGGGAGUGGCGAAGUUCAUAAUUUUUUAAUAAUUCAAAUAAGUCCUCCAUUCCAUCUGCAUGUUUUUUAUUCCAACCAGAGUACCCACCAAUGUCGAACUUCUACAACAAGGUUAUUGGCGAAGGUUGGUUGGGCCGCCAAGACGGAGUGGUUGCGUUCACCAUCACCAAAGUGGCAGCCCCUCUCACGGUGGCCACGUUAGUAAUUAUCUUUUUUUCAUGGUUGGUUAAGAAACUCAUCAUCAAAACCAAGUCGUUGCCGCCGCCGCCACCAGGCCCGAUAGGCCUGCCGAUACUCGGCCACCUCCUUUUCAUCAAACCCGAUUUCCUCCAAUACGUAACCGAGCAAUCCAAAAUCCACGGCCCUAUCAUCAAGCUUCAGCUGGGAAGAAAAGUUUACAUCAUCAUAAGCUCACCAUCAAUCGCAAAACAAAUCCUCAAAGACCACGACGCCAUCUUCACCAACCGCGACAUUCCGGUGGCGGCCAUAAAAGGAACCUUUGGCGGACUCGACAUUGUGUGGAGAUCCAAUGGCCCAGAAUUACACAAGCUACGAAAGCUCGUCGUAAGUGAAAUCAUGAGCAACAAAGGCCUCAAUGCUUGCUACGAGUUUCGCCGACGAGAGAUCCGACAUAUGGUGAAGAAUAUUCAUGGAAAAAUCGGGUCACCCAUUAACCUCAGUGAGCAAAUAUUCUUAACAACGUUCAACGUUACGGUUAACAUGCUUUGGGGUGGUUCGUUGAAUGGAGAAGAAUCGAACCUUGGGCUUGAAUUUAAGGAUCGAUUCGAGGAAUUUUUGAGAUUGAUGGUAGAACCCAAUGUUUCUGAUAUGUUCCCGGUGCUCAGGCCAUUUGAUUUGCAAGGAAUUGAAUCCAAAGCCAAGAAAAAUAUUUCAUGGUUUUUUGAGUUUUUCGAAUCGGUGAUAGAGCAGCGAAGGAAGCUCGGAGAGGGACCAAAAAUGGCUGAUAGUAAGGAUUUUUUGCAGCAAUUGUUGGAGCUGAACCAAACAGGAGAUGUCAAAACUUCAUUAUCCAUGAAGGAAAUAAACGCUGUGCUGCUGGUAAGCAUACACACUAAAUUUUGAAAUCCGGAAUUCUAAAAAUAUAACUACAUUACUAAAUUUCAAAAAUUUACAAAAACUAACAUAUUUUAACCUAGGGGGUAUAUCAGUGUAAAACAAGUUUAAGUGGUUUUACAUUCUUUCUUAACCUUUUAAACGAAUAAUAUUUUAAUAAAACAACGGUCAUAUUUCAUAAAUUAUUCAUGUACAUCAUGCACAUCAAGUUUGGUAUAAAUUAAAAAAGUUUAACUAUUCGCUUUUUGUAAAAAAAAUUCAAAUGUUCAUUCGUUAAAAUAUUAAUCAUACAAGAAUAUACAAAAAUAUGUAAAUUACUCAAAUUUCACAUCGAUGUAAAUUGAUUCUUUCCCUUAUAUAUAGGCAUGGUUUAAAAAAAUACAUAACAAUCCAUGAAAUUGGUCGGUUUAGUUGUAAACAAUAUGAUUUUGGAGAUUUCUGAUAUGUUUUGUAGGGUGUGUAAUUGGUUGAUUUAAUUAGUUCAGCUUAAAAAGAGUAAUCGAUUUUUCUAAAAUAAAAAUUAGUAACCGAGCUGAUUUAAAGAUGAAAACACAAAAAUAUUUAAUUAAAAAAUAAGGAAUAUUGAUGGAUUUCAUUGUUUUUGUUAAAAUAUAAUGAAUAAAUCUGAAAUCCUGAAUAAUGGGUACAUUUAAUUGAUUGUAACUUAUUUUAAAGUAUAUAAAAUCCAGCGCUAUUGAUAUACAUUCAACCUAUAUAAUGUAUUUUAAUUUAACACUCUAAUCAUAAUUAAAUUAAUUAAAUUAUCUCAAUUAAUUUGAUUUUAAUUAAAAUCUGCUCAACUUUAAUCCUUUGUCUCAAAUUGUGGGUAUAGAAUAUUGUAAACGGUGCUACGGACACAACAUUUACAACAAUGGAGUGGGCGAUGACGGAAUUACUACGACACCCAGAUAAAUUGCGAAGAGUCGUCGACGAAUUGGAUGCAAUAAUCGGUGGCCCAAACAUCGUUGAAGAGUUCCAUCUUCCUCGCCUACUCUAUUUAGAAGCUGUGGUGAAAGAGACGUUACGAAUUCACCCACCGGCUCCUUUGCUAAUGCCACACAUGCCGAGCGAGACCAUCGUCGUAGCCGGUUACACUAUCCCAAAAAAUUCCAAUAUUUUCUUCAAUGUGUGGGCAAUACAAAGGGACGCCGAGUUCUGGGAAGACCCUCUUCAAUUCGAGCCAGAAAGGUUCUUGAAUGUCAUUGAGAAAAGGAAUUAUAAGGGAAAUAGUUUCGAUUUUUUCCCGUUUGGAUCGGGGAGGAGGAUUUGUGUUGGGAUUUCAAUGGCAGAGAAAAUUAUGAUGCUGGUGUUGGCGACGUUGUUGCAUUGUUUCGAAUGGGAAUUGUCGAAUGGGCAAAAACCUGAUGUGAAAGAGCAACUGCGAUUGGUGUUGUCGAAGGUGGAGCCGCUUAUUGUUGUGUCCAUUGCGCGUUCAUCUAAUUCAAUGCAAUAUCAAUAAAUUUGUGGUUAAAAUAUGCUUUAAGUCAUUAUGCUUUUCAUAAAUUUUAAAUUUAAUCCUUGUACUUUUAUUUAUAGAAAUUUAAUCUAUCUACUUAUUUUUAUUAGUAUUCACGCUCAUAUUUAAGUUAAUUCAAAUAUUUGUUUGGAUUCAAUUUAACUCAAUUUUCGAGUUUUAUUUAAAAUUUGAAACUUAAUCAAAAUUUAAACUUUGUCAUGAAUCUCAAAAUUUGAUUUUUUUUUUUUUUUUUUUAAAUGAAACCCGAAAUGUGGAAUUACAUAAAACUUGAAGUUGAAGCUCGAGACUAGUGAAUCAAUGUUAUAUUAAGGUAUAAAUAAGAUAUUUUGUGUUUAUAUUAUAAUUUCAUUAUUAAUAUGCAUAAGUGGUAAUAAUAUAAUAUUAAAAGGAAAAGAGAUAAGCAUGGUGAGUGGGGCGACGUUCACCCUACCAUGCAUCAAAUAGAUGCUGAUUUGAAUAUAUAUACAUAUACAUAUAUAAAGAAAAGAGAUAAUCACAAUUACUCGGUUAGUAUGAAUAUUAUUGAUCUUAUUAUCUGUUAAAUACUUACAUUUAAUGCAAUAAAUAAGUUUAGUUUGAUUUAUUUUCAUAAAUUGUUCUGUGUAAUUACAAUCAAAAUUUCUAUCUCUAGAAAGUUCAACAUUUCUGGAAAGUUGAUGAUUAAUUGUUUAUCACAUUUAGAAUAUUUAUGGCGACAGAGGAGGAAAUGCUAUUACCUCCAAUAGCCGCAACCUCAUAUUGCUGUAAUCUCGUUUUAUUAUAUAUGAUUGUAAAUAAGUCUUCCAAUUCCCAGGGAAGUGGUGAAUUACAUAAUUUUUUAAUAAUUCAAAUAAGUACUUCAUUCCCUCUGCUUUUUUUUCUAUUCCAACCAGACUACCCACCCAUGUCGAACUUCUACGAUAAGGUUGCUGGCGAAGGUUGGUUGCGCCGCCACGACGGACUGGCUGCGUUCACCAUCACCGAAGUGGUAGCCACUCUCACGGUGGCGACGUUAGUAAUUAUCUAUUUCUCACGGUUGGUUAAGAAACUCAUCAUCAAAACCAAGCCUUCGCCGCUGCCGCCACCAGGCCCGAUAGGCCUGCCGAUACUCGGCCACCUCCUUUUCAUCAAACCCGAUUUCCUCCAAUACGUAACCGAGCAAUCCAAAAUCCACGGCCCUAUCAUCAAGCUUCAGCUGGGAAGAAAAGUUUACAUCAUCAUAAGCUCACCAUCAAUCGCAAAACAAAUCCUCAAAGACCACGACGCCAUCUUCGCCAACCGCGACAUUCCGGUGGCGGCCAUAAAAGGAACCUUUGGCGGACUCGACAUUGUNNNNNNNNNNNNNNNNNNNNNNNNNNNNNNNNNNNNNNNNNNNNNNNNNNNNNNNNNNNNNNNNNNNNNNNNNNNNNNNNNNNNNNNNNNNNNNNNNNNNCCUCAAUGCUUGCUACGAGUUUCGCCGACGAGAGAUCCGACAUAUGGUGAAGAAUAUUCAUGGAAAAAUCGGGUCAUCCAUUAACCUCAGUGAACAAAUAUUCUUAACAACGUUCAACGUUACGGUUAACAUGCUUUGGGGUGGUUCGUUGAAUGGAGAAGAAUCGAACCUUGGGCUUGAAUUUAAGGAUCGAUUCGAGGAAUUUUUGAGAUUGAUGGUAGAACCCAAUGUUUCUGAUAUGUUCCCGGUGCUCAGGCCAUUUGAUUUACAAGGAAUUGAAUCCAAAGCCAAGAAAAAUAUUUCGUGGUUUUAUGAGUUUUUCGAAUCGGUGAUAGAGCAGCGAAAGAAGCUCGGAGAGGGACCCAAAAUGGCUGAUAGUAAGGAUUUUUUGCAGCAAUUGUUGGAGCUGAACCAAACAGGAGAUGUCAAAACUUCAUUAUCCAUGAAGGAAAUAAACGCUGUCUUGCUGGUAAGCAUACACACUAAAUUUUGAAAUCCGGAAUUCUAAAAAUAUAACUA
RNAcentral lists this long non-coding RNA (16336 nucleotides) under Gossypium raimondii (Peruvian cotton). RNAcentral's name for it is "long non-coding RNA (GRAI_LNC006818)". The record is from RNAcentral. Lineage: Eukaryota; Viridiplantae; Streptophyta; Magnoliopsida; Malvales; Malvaceae.